CAAUAGCGUAUAUUUAAGUUGUUGCAGUUAAAAGGCUCGUAGUUGGAUUUCGGGUGGGACGCAGCGGUCUCGCAUUGCGUUUGUACUGCUGCAGCCCUCCUUCUUGCCGGGGGCGGCCUCUCGGACUUCACUGUCUGGGGGUCAGAAUCGGCGAUGUUACUUUGAGUAAAUUAGAGUGUUCAAAGCAAGCUUACGCUCUGAAUAUAAUAGCAUGGGAUAACACGACAGGACUCUGGCCUAUCGUGUUGGUCUAUAGGACCAGAGUAAUGAUUAAGAGGGACAGUCGGGGGCAUUCGUAUUCCGUUGUCAGAGGUGAAAUUCUUGGAUUUACGGAAGACGGACAUCUGCGAAAGCAUUUGCCAAGGAUGUUUUCAUUGA
Molecule: ribosomal RNA, 378 nt
Filed under: uncultured eukaryote
Lineage: Eukaryota
Description: partial 18S ribosomal RNA
Rfam family: Eukaryotic small subunit ribosomal RNA
Source: RNAcentral